This is a long non-coding RNA of Cyanistes caeruleus (blue tit), 301 nucleotides long. RefSeq lists it as uncharacterized. The record is from RefSeq and is a predicted model, not a curated record. NCBI's taxonomy places the organism in Eukaryota, Metazoa, Chordata, Aves, Passeriformes, Paridae.
AUGAUAAAAUAAUUAUUCAAAAUGGACUCGAAUUUAACAUCUGUAUCUGCCUCUUGCCUUCUGCAUUUUGGCAGGUUUGAAAACUACAGCUAGGAAUACCUAGUAAUGAAAACUGUGAGUUCAAGACUGAUUGAUCUGCGAGGUCUUCCUUGACAGAGCUCCUGAAUGAUCCCUCCAUCUGUAUGCAAAAUGACAUUUGAAGAACCACUUUUCAUUUGUUUUGAGUUUUUUUGAUGUGUACAGAUUAGUCAUUGGUGCCUCUGGGUUUCCAUUGAAAAUAAUGCAAGAAGAGUCUAUCAAU